ACGAAGAGGUAUCGUAAUUGAAGAGGUUUGGAAAGACCCACCACAGAAGGUAAUAGUCCUGUAUGUUAAACGAGAAGACUUCAGAUAUGAUCCAGAGUACCACGGGACACGUGAAACCCUGUGGGAAGCAGGAGGGACCACCCUCCAAGGCUAAAUACUACCUAGUGACCGAUAGCGUAUAGUACCGUGAGGGAAAGGUGAAAAGAACCCCGGGAGGGGAGUGAAAUAGAACCUGAAACCCUGCACUUACAAGCUGUGGAAGCACAUUUCUUGUGUGACCGCGUACUUUUUGUAGAACGGGCCAACGAGUUACGUUAAGUAGCAAGGUUAAGCACUUAAGGUGCGGAGCCGUAGCGAAAGCGAGUUUUAACUGAGCGUUCAGUUACUUGACGUAGACCCGAAACCGGGCGACCUACCCAUGAGCAGGAUGAAGCGAAAGUAAAAUUUCGUGGAGGUCCGAACCCACGAGCGUUGAAAAGCUCGGGGAUGACUUGUGGGUAGCGGUGAAAUUCCAAUCGAGCCCGGAGAUAGCUGGUUCUCCCCGAAAUAGCUUUAGGGCUAGCCUCAAGGUGAGAGAUACGGAGGUAGAGCACUGAAUGUCCUAGGGGGUAUUGCACCUACCGAAGACUAUCAAACUCCGAAUGCCGUCAUCUUAUACUUGGGAGUCAGACUGUGGGUGAUAAGAUUCAUAGUCGAAAGGGCAACAGCCCAGAUCGUCAGCUAAGGUCCCUAAAUGUAAGUUAAGUGGUAAAGGAUGUGGGAUUGCACAGACAACCAGGAUGUUGGCUUAGAAGCAGCCACUCAUUCAAAGAGUGCGUAAUAGCUCACUGGUCGAGUGAUCCUGCGCCGAAGAUUUCCGGGGC
This 863-nucleotide ribosomal RNA is filed under the name Clostridioides difficile. RNAcentral describes it as "partial 23S ribosomal RNA". It matches the Rfam family "Bacterial large subunit ribosomal RNA", at positions 316 to 1181 of the family's 2925-position model. Lineage: Bacteria; Bacillati; Bacillota; Clostridia; Peptostreptococcales; Peptostreptococcaceae. The record is from RNAcentral.